RNAcentral lists this ribosomal RNA (329 nucleotides) under uncultured bacterium. RNAcentral's name for it is "bacterial SSU rRNA". It matches the Rfam family "Bacterial small subunit ribosomal RNA", at positions 28 to 363 of the family's 1533-position model. The record is from RNAcentral.
GAUGAACGCUAGCGGGAGGCCUAACACAUGCAAGCCGAGCGGUAUUGUUUCUUCGGAAAUGAGAGAGCGGCGUACGGUGCGGAACACGUGUGCAACCUGCCUUUAUCUGGGGGAUAGCCUUUCGAAAGGAAGAUUAAUACUCCAUAACAUAUUGAACGGCAUCGUUUAAUAUUGAAAGCUCAGGCGGAUAGAGAUGGGCACGCGCAAGAUUAGCUAGUUGGUGAGGUAACGGCUCACCAAGGCAAUGAUCUUUAGGGGCCUGAGAGGUGAUCCCCACACUGGUACUGAGACACGGACCAGACUCCUACGGGAGGCAGCAGUGAGGAAUA